RNAcentral lists this long non-coding RNA (1044 nucleotides) under Linum usitatissimum (flax). Its description in RNAcentral is "long non-coding RNA (LUSI_LNC007487)". Lineage: Eukaryota; Viridiplantae; Streptophyta; Magnoliopsida; Malpighiales; Linaceae. The record is from RNAcentral.
UGACUGAAUUUGUGGAUUUGGUGGGAAAUUAAAAGGGCAAGUACAUUAAGGUCAGUGAACUUGGCAACUAGCAUCAGUAGAACCAUCCAAUUUGUAAAAUUAAAAAACUAAUAGCUAACUUUUUGUAUAAUUGAUAAACUUGUAAUUAUGUUCAAUGGUUGUGACUUUGUGCAGAACUGAAAAUUUAUGCUGCAUUGACCUUUGAUUGAAUGCAAUCUUACUCAACAUAUCAUCUGCAUGCUCUGUCUUUGGUUGAACAUACAUAUUCCACUGGCAAGAGCAAAUACUCUCUGCAUUAUUGUUGCAAAUUAACGCUAUAAAAGGGCAUGGACUACAGGAAGUAAGCUAGCUACAAUACACAAUACUCAAGACAUAAACAAGCCACUGAUCUCAACUUUUUGUUUUGACUAAAGUGAAUAUGUAUCUUGUUAUUGCUCAAGUUUCAUUCUUAUGGUGUAAUUACUUAAAUGAAUGUAGCUAAGCAGCAGCCAUACAUUUUGAGCGAGGAAGCUACUCCAACUUGUGCGAGGGAAGCUGAGGUUCGGCCAAAACGAUGAUCACCCACCAGAGUUCAGUCCAUAAGAAAGAGUGGCAUGGAGAUCUGUCCAGUGGAACCUCUGCAUACAAGUUUUCACGUGAUAGACUCUGGUAGGUGAUUACUGACUUGGCUGAACCUUGAUUGACCAUGCACAAGUUGCAGUAGUUUCCUUGCUCAAAAUCUAUGGCUGCCGCUGACCGAGCUGCGUCCAUUUUGCAGCAAAUGAAAACCUAAUUACAUCACUAAUUACUACACCAUAAGCAGAAGUUCACCUCACAAAUGGGCAAAUGCAUGCAUCUUUAGAGAAAGAAAUUGCGAUUGUGAGGCGUGACUCACACCAAUGUGCUAUCGCCUGUUUAAGUUACAAUGAAGAAACGAAAAUAGGCUGCAUCUUCCAUGCUGAAUUUUGAUGAAUCGGACCCGAAUUAUGCAAUUUUUGAGGACUUACAUUGAUAGAACAUCCCAAUUGCGCUAUAACAAGAUGCUUAGGCUGCUGAAGAAUAUCC